ACGAACGCUGGCGGCGUGCCUAAUACAUGCAGGUAGAACGCUGAAGAGAGGAGCUUGCUCUUCUUGGAUGAGUUGCGAACGGGUGAGUAACGCGUAGGUAACCUGCCUUGUAGCGGGGGAUAACUAUUGGAAACGAUAGCUAAUACCGCAUAACAAUGGAUCACACAUGUCAUUUAUUUGAAAGGGGCAAUUGCUCCACUACAAGAUGGACCUGCGUUGUAUUAGCUAGUAGGUGAGGUAAUGGCUCACCUAGGCGACGAUACAUAGCCGACCUGAGAGGGUGAUCGGCCACACUGGGACUGAGACACGGCCCAGACUCCUACGGGAGGCAGCAGUAGGGAAUCUUCGGCAAUGGGGGCAACCCUGACCGAGCAACGCCGCGUGAGUGAAGAAGGUUUUCGGAUCGUAAAGCUCUGUUGUAAGUCAAGAACGGGUGUGAGAGUGGAAAGUUCACACUGUGACGGUAGCUUACCAGAAAGGGACGGCUAACUACGUG
This 496-nucleotide ribosomal RNA is filed under the name uncultured bacterium. RNAcentral describes it as "partial 16S ribosomal RNA". It matches the Rfam family "Bacterial small subunit ribosomal RNA", at positions 29 to 507 of the family's 1533-position model. The record is from RNAcentral.